AACGGUCUAUACCUGCGGUACCUGCGGAGGGAUCAUUAUCAAUUUACAGCGGACUUCGGUCCUGUCUGCACCCUUGUCUUUUGCGUACUAUAUGUUUCCUCGGUGGGCUUGCCUGCCGAUAGGACACUUAUAAACUCUUUUGUAGUUGCAAUCAGCGUCAGAAAACUAUAAUAGUUACAACUUUCAACAAUGGAUCUCU
This 199-nucleotide unclassified non-coding RNA is filed under the name soil metagenome. Its description in RNAcentral is "partial contains 5.8S ribosomal RNA, internal transcribed spacer 2, and large subunit ribosomal RNA". The record is from RNAcentral.